RNAcentral lists this ribosomal RNA (2308 nucleotides) under human gut metagenome. RNAcentral describes it as "bacterial LSU rRNA". It matches the Rfam family "Bacterial large subunit ribosomal RNA", at positions 176 to 2518 of the family's 2925-position model. The record is from RNAcentral.
GAAGGGAACCCGGGGAACUGAAACAUCUAAGUACCCGGAGGAAAAGAAAGAAAACUCGAUUCCGUAAGUAGCGGCGAGCGAACGCGGAGGAGCCUAAACCGGAAUGCGUGCAUUCCGGGGUUACGGACUGCAUUUAAGAUUCAGUGAUGUUAACAGAACGGUUUUGGGAAAGCCGGCCGGAGAGGGUGAAAGCCCCGUACGUGAAAGCAGAGCUGACUGAGCAGGAUCCAGAGUACCACGAGACACGUGGAACCUUGUGGGAAAUCAGGGGGACCACCCCCUAAGGCUAAAUACUACUUAGUGACCGAUAGCGCAUAGUACUGUGAAGGAAAGGUGAAAAGGACCCCGGGAGGGGAGUGAAAGAGAACCUGAAACCCUGUGUCUACAAGCUGUGGAAGCACUUUAUAUGUGCGACCGCGUACUUUUUGUAGAACGGUCCGGCGAGUUACGCUUACUGGCAAGGUUAAGCACUUCAGGUGUGGAGCCGUAGGGAAACCAAGUCUUAAGAGGGCCUUAAGUCAGUAGGAGUAGACCCGAAACCGGGUGAUCUAUCCAUGUCCAGGUUGAAGCUGCCGUAAGAGGUAGUGGAGGACCGAACCCACAUCCGUUGAAAAGGGUGGGGAUGAGGUGUGGAUAGGGGAGAAAUUCCAAUCGAACCCGGAGAUAGCUGGUUCUCCUCGAAAUAGCUUUAGGGCUAGCCUCGAUACAGAUUUGCGGAGGUAGAGCACUGAAUUUCCUAGGGGGCGUCAAAGCCUACCGAAGAAUAUCAAACUCCGAAUGCCGCGUAAUCGAUUAUCGGGAGUCAGACUGCACGAGAUAAGUUGGGCGGUCAAAAGGGAAAGAGCCCAGACCUUCAGUUAAGGUCCCCAAGUGCGCGUUAAGUGGAAAAGGAUGUGGGAUUUCGAAGACAACCAGGAUGUUGGCUCAGAAGCAGCCAUCCAUUCAAAGAGUGCGUAAUAGCUCACUGGUCGAGAGGUCCUGCGCCGAAAAUGUCCGGGGCUGAAACGCGCCACCGAAACUAAGGAACCGAAAGGUUGGUAGAGGAGCAUUGCAUGCGGGAAGAAGCAGUACCGAAAGGAGCUGUGGACUGCAUGGAAGAGAGAAUGCCGGAAUGAGUAGCGAGAAUAAGGUGGGAAUCCUUAUGGCCGAAUAUCCAAGGUUUCCAGAGUAAAGCUGAUCUGCUCUGGGUAAGUCGGGGCCUAAGGCGAGGACGAGAGUCGUAGCCGAUGGACAACAGGUGGAGAUUCCUGUACUGCGGUAUGACAGAACUGUGGGGACACGUAAGGAAAGCGGAAGCCGGGAAUGGAAAGCCCGGUGCAAGCGGGGUACCAGUCACUUUGGCAAAUCCGGGUGGCAAUGGGAAGCCGUGAUGCGGAGCGAAAUAAAGUAGCGAAGUCCGUGAGCCAUGCGUCAAGAAAAGCCGCUAUUGUUUAUACCGUACCCGUACCGUAAACCGACACAGGUGGAUGAGGAGAGAAUCCUAAGGCCGGCGGAAGAAGCAUUGUCAAGGAACUCGGCAAAAUGGCCCCGUAACUUAGGGAUAAGGGGUGCCUGGGAAACCAGGCCGCAGAGAAUAGGCUCAAGCAACUGUUUAGCAAAAACACAGGUCUAUGCGAAACCGAAAGGUGAGGUAUAUGGGCUGACGCCUGCCCGGUGCUGGAAGGUUAAGAGGAGAGGUUAGCGGUAACGCGAAGCUUUGAAUUUAAGCCCCAGUAAACGGCGGCCGUAACUAUAACGGUCCUAAGGUAGCGAAAUUCCUUGUCGGGUAAGUUCCGACCCGCACGAAAGGCGUAAUGAUUUGAGCGCUGUCUCGACAAUGCAUCCGGUGAAAUUGAAGUACCAGUGAAGAUGCUGGUUACCUGCGCCAGGACGGAAAGACCCCAUGGAGCUUUACUCCAGUCUGGUACUGGGACUCGGUAUUGCAUGUACAGGAUAGGUGGGAGGCUAGGAGAUGGUAACGCCAGUUGCCAUGGAGCCGCUGUUGGGAUACCACCCUUGCAGUAUUGGGUUUCUAACCAGCCGCCGUGACCCGGCGGUGGGACAAUGCCAGACGGGGAGUUUGACUGGGGCGGUCGCCUCCGAAAGGGUAUCGGAGGCGCCCAAAGGUUCCCUCAGAAUGGACGGAAACCAUUCGAAGAGUGCAAAGGCAGAAGGGAGCUUGACUGCGACACCGACGGGUGGAGCAGGUACGAAAGUAGGGCUUAGUGAUCCGGUGGUAUUAAGUGGGAAUGCCAUCGCUCAACGGAUAAAAGCUACCCUGGGGAUAACAGGCUUAUCACUCCCAAGAGUUCACAUCGACGGAGUGGUU